Molecule: ribosomal RNA, 907 nt
Filed under: uncultured sponge bacterium
Lineage: Bacteria
Description: bacterial SSU rRNA
Rfam family: Bacterial small subunit ribosomal RNA
Source: RNAcentral
AGAGUUUGAUCAUGGCUCAGAGCGAACGCUGGCGGCACGCCUAACACAUGCAAGUCGAGCGAGAAAGUGACUUCGGUCGCGAGUAAAGCGGCGAACGGGUGAGUACAACGUGGAUAAUCUACCCUAGGGUCCGGGACAACCCCGAGAAAUCGGGGCUAAUACCGGAUAAGACCACAGUAUCCAAGGAUACAGCGGUAAAAGAUUUAUCGCCUUUGGAUGAGUCCACGCCCCAUCAGGUAGUUGGUAAGGUAAAGGCUUACCAAGCCUAAGACGGGUAGCCGGCCUUAGCGGGUGAACGGCCACAUGGGGACUGAGACACGGCCCUGACUCCUACGGGAGGCAGCAGUGGGGAAUAUUGGGCAAUGGGCGAAAGCCUGACCCAGCGAUGCCGCGUGAGGGAUGAAGGCCUUCGGGUUGUAAACCUCUGUCAGGAGGGACGAUGGGACUAUGUCUUGACGGUACCUCCAGAGGAAGCCCCGGCUAACUCCGUGCCAGCAGCCGCGGUAAUACGGAGGGGGCAAGCGUUGCUCGGAAUUACUGGGCGUAAAGGGUCCGCAGGCUGUCAGGCAAGUUGGUUGUGAAAUCCCAAGGCUUAACCUUGGAAUUGCAUCCAAAACUGCCUGACUAGAGUCCAAGAGAGGUUAGCGGAAUUCCCGGUGUAGCGGUGAAAUGCAUAGAUAUCGGGAGGAACACCAGAGGCGAAGGCGGCCAACUGGCUUGGUACUGACGCUCAGGGACGAAAGCGUGGGUAGCAAACCGGAUUAGAUACCCGGGUAGUCCACGCCCUAAACGAUGGAUGCUAGGUAGGGGGAAUUUAUUUCUCCCUGCCGUAGUUAACGCAUUAAGCAUCCCGCCUGGGGGAGUACGGUCGCAAGGCUGAAACUCAAAGGACUUGGCGGGGGGCCCG